RNAcentral lists this ribosomal RNA (445 nucleotides) under uncultured bacterium. Its description in RNAcentral is "SSU rRNA". It matches the Rfam family "Bacterial small subunit ribosomal RNA", at positions 26 to 518 of the family's 1533-position model. The record is from RNAcentral.
AGAGCGAACGCUGGCGGCAGGCCUAACACAUGCAAGUCGAACGGACCCUUCGGGGUUAGUGGCGGACGGGUGAGUAACACGUGGGAACGUGCCUUUUGGUUCGGAAUAGCUCCUGGAAACGGGUGGUAAUGCCGAAUGUGCCCUUCGGGGGAAAGAUUUAUCGCCAUUAGAGCGGCCCGCGUCUGAUUAGCUAGUUGGUGAGGUAAAGGCUCACCAAGGCUACGAUCAGUAGCUGGUCUGAGAGGAUGACCAGCCACAUUGGGACUGAGACACGGCCCAAACUCCUACGGGAGGCAGCAGUGGGGAAUCUUGCGCAAUGGGCGAAAGCCUGACGCAGCCAUGCCGCGUGAAUGAUGAAGGUCUUAGGAUUGUAAAAUUCUUUCACCGGGGACGAUAAUGACGGUACCCGGAGAAGAAGCCCGGCUAACUUCGUGCCAGCAGCCGC